RNAcentral lists this ribosomal RNA (825 nucleotides) under uncultured Calyptrosphaera. RNAcentral describes it as "SSU rRNA". It matches the Rfam family "Eukaryotic small subunit ribosomal RNA", at positions 619 to 1468 of the family's 1831-position model. The record is from RNAcentral. Lineage: Eukaryota; Haptophyta; Coccosphaerales; Calyptrosphaeraceae.
UUAAAACGCUCGUAGUCGGAUUUCGGGGCGUGUGGGCCGGUCUGCCGAUGGGUAUGCACUGGUUGUACGCGUCCUUUCUUUCGGAGCUCUCUGCUGCUCUUAGCUGAGCGGUGGAGGGAUACCAAUCGUUUACUUUGAAAAAAUCAGAGUGUUUCAAGCAGGCAGCUCGCUCUUGCAUGGAUUAGCAUGGGAUAAUGAAAUAGGACUCUGGUGCUAUUUUGUUGGUUUCGAACACCGGAGUAAUGAUUAACAGGGACAGUCAGGGGCACUCGUAUUCCGCCGAGAGAGGUGAAAUUCUCAGACCAGCGGAAGACGAACCACUGCGAAAGCAUUUGCCAGGGAUGUUUUCACUGAUCAAGAACGAAAGUUAGGGGAUCGAAGACGAUCAGAUACCGUCGUAGUCUUAACCAUAAACCAUGCCGACUAGGGAUUUGGGGUUGUUCCUUUUGUGACUCCUUAAGCACCUUUCGGGAAACUAAAGUCUUUGGGUUCCGGGGGGAGUAUGGUCGCAAGGCUGAAACUUAAAGGAAUUGACGGAAGGGCACCACCAGGAGUGGAGCCUGCGGCUUAAUUUGACUCAACACGGGGAAACUUACCAGGUCCAGACAUUGUGAGGAUUGACAGAUUGAGAGCUCUUUCUUGAUUCGAUGGGUGGUGGUGCAUGGCCGUUCUUAGUUGGUGGAGUGAUUUGUCUGGUUAAUUCCGUUAACGAACGAGACCGCAGCCUGCUAAAUAGUACCGCGAACAAUUUGUUGGCGGGUCACUUCUUAGAGGGACAACUUGUCUUCAACAAGUGGAAGUUUGCGGCAAUAACAGGUCUGUGAU